This 408-nucleotide unclassified non-coding RNA is filed under the name fungal sp. RNAcentral describes it as "partial internal transcribed spacer region". Lineage: Eukaryota; Fungi. The record is from RNAcentral.
AAGUCGUAACAGGAUGAAGGUUCACGGGGGGGUUUUAACGUUUGGAUACGUGUUAAUGAUCCUUCCGCAGGUUCUGCUCUUGUAACCCGCGUAGUUCGCAAUCUCUGAUAAAUCAUAGCCCGGAAAGUUGUAGUGAUUCAGAGACCUCUGGCUACGUGCGAUCAUUGGAACAGUUACAAUCGAGCGGUAGUUCUAUAGGCAAUGUUUCUCCAAGCAGUCAGUGUCGGAAAGUGUCAUUGAUUGUGCAAGGAUAGCGCUUCUACGAUUCCUGUAGACCGUACACUCGGGCAGGAGCUUUGCCAAAGGGUCCCCAUGCCCCCUAAUAACCCCACAGUUUAAUGUGAAGCUCAAUGUAAUACAUUGGGUAAAAAAACCGAACAACUGUUAACAAUGGAUAUCUUGGUUCUC